This 586-nucleotide ribosomal RNA is filed under the name uncultured bacterium. Its description in RNAcentral is "bacterial SSU rRNA". It matches the Rfam family "Bacterial small subunit ribosomal RNA", at positions 338 to 916 of the family's 1533-position model. The record is from RNAcentral.
CCUACGGGAGGCAGCAGUGGGGAAUUUUGGACAAUGGGCGCAAGCCUGAUCCAGCAAUGCCGCGUGAGUGAAGAAGGCCUUCGGGUUGUAAAGCUCUUUUGUCAGGGAAGAAAAGGGUCUGGCUAAUAUCUAGGCCUCAUGACGGUACCUGAAGAAUAAGCACCGGCUAACUACGUGCCAGCAGCCGCGGUAAUACGUAGGGUGCAAGCGUUAAUCGGAAUUACUGGGCGUAAAGCGUGCGCAGGCGGUUUUGAAGACUGUCGUGAAAUCCCCGGGCUCAACCUGGGAAUGGCGAUGGUGACUGCAAGGCUAGAGUUUGGCAGAGGGGGGUAGAAUUCCACGUGUAGCAGUGAAAUGCGUAGAUAUGUGGAGGAACACCGAUGGCGAAGGCAGCCCCCUGGGUCAAAACUGAACGCUCAUGCACGAAAGCGUGGGGAGCAAACAGGAUUAGAUACCCUGGUAGUCCACGCCCUAAACGAUGUCUACUAGUUGUCGGGUCUUAAUUGACUUGGUAACGCAGCUAACGCGUGAAGUAGACCGCCUGGGGAGUACGGUCGCAAGAUUAAAACUCAAAAGGAAUUGACGG